UUAGAGUUUGAUCAUGGCUCAGGACGAACGCUGGCGGCGUGCUUAACACAUGCAAGUCGAACGAACUCCAACCAGUGGCAACACUGGGGAAGAGUUAGUGGCGAACGGGUGAGUAACACGUGAGCAACCUGCCUCGAAGACUGGGAUAACAGCGGGAAACCGCUGCUAAUACCGGAUACCCCCAUCGGAUCGCAUGGUCUGAUGAGGAAAUGAAUUUCGCUUCGAGAGGGGCUCGCGGGCUAUCAGCUUGUUGGUGGGGUAACGGCCCACCAAGGCUACGACGGCUAGCUGGUCUGAGAGGACGACCAGCCACACUGGGACUGAGACACGGCCCAGACUCCUACGGGAGGCAGCAGUGGGGAAUCUUGCGCAAUGGGCGAAAGCCUGACGCAGCAACGCCGCGUGCGGGAUGACGGCCUUCGGGUUGUAAACCGCUUUCAGCAGGGACGAAAUUGACGGUACCUGCAGAAGAAGCCCCGGCCAACUACGUGCCAGCAGCCGCGGUAG
RNAcentral lists this ribosomal RNA (507 nucleotides) under uncultured bacterium. RNAcentral describes it as "bacterial SSU rRNA". It matches the Rfam family "Bacterial small subunit ribosomal RNA", at positions 1 to 523 of the family's 1533-position model. The record is from RNAcentral.